This 72-nucleotide transfer RNA is filed under the name Ipomoea nil (Japanese morning glory). It matches the Rfam family "tRNA". Rfam says of the family: Transfer RNA (tRNA) molecules are approximately 80 nucleotides in length. Their secondary structure includes four short double-helical elements and three loops (D, anti-codon, and T loops). Lineage: Eukaryota; Viridiplantae; Streptophyta; Magnoliopsida; Solanales; Convolvulaceae. The record is from Rfam by way of RNAcentral.
GGGCAUUUGGUCUAGUGGUAUGAUUCUCGCUUUGGGUGUGAGAGGUCUUAGGUUUAAUUCCCAGAAUGUCCU